AUUGAACGCUGGCGGCAGGCUUAACACAUGCAAGUCGAGCGGGGGAAGGUAGCUUGCUACCGGACCUAGCGGCGGACGGGUGAGUAAUGCUUAGGAAUCUGCCUAUUAGUGGGGGACAACAUCUCGAAAGGGAUGCUAAUACCGCAUACGUCCUACGGGAGAAAGCAGGGGAUCUUCGGACCUUGCGCUAAUAGAUGAGCCUAAGUCAGAUUAGCUAGUUGGCGGGGUAAAGGCCUACCAAGGCGACGAUCUGUAGCGGGUCUGAGAGGAUGGUCCGCCACACUGGGACGGGGACACGGCCCAGACUCCUACGGGAGGCAGCAGUGGGGAAUAUUGGACAAUGGGGGGAACCCUGAUCCAGCAAUGCCGCGUGUGGGAAGAAGGCCUUAUGGUUGUAAAGCACUUUAAGCGAGGAGGAGGCUACUUUAGUUAAUACCUAGAGAUAGUGGACGUUACUCGCAGAAUAAGCACCGGCUAACUCUGUGCCAGCCGCCGCCGUAA
This 501-nucleotide ribosomal RNA is filed under the name uncultured bacterium. RNAcentral describes it as "partial 16S ribosomal RNA". It matches the Rfam family "Bacterial small subunit ribosomal RNA", at positions 30 to 523 of the family's 1533-position model. The record is from RNAcentral.